CGCGUAGGCGGAUCGACCAGUCAGGGUGAAAUCCCGGGGCUCAACCUCGGAACUGCCUUUGAUACUGUCGAUCUAGAGUCUGUGAGAGGGUGGCGGAAUACCCAGUGUAGAGGUGAAAUUCGUAGAUAUUGGGUAGAACACCAGUGGCGAAGGCGGCCACCUGGCGCAGUACUGACGCUGAGGCGCGAAAGUGUGGGGAGCAAACA
This 206-nucleotide ribosomal RNA is filed under the name uncultured bacterium. RNAcentral describes it as "partial 16S ribosomal RNA". It matches the Rfam family "Bacterial small subunit ribosomal RNA", at positions 568 to 774 of the family's 1533-position model. The record is from RNAcentral.